RNAcentral lists this ribosomal RNA (446 nucleotides) under uncultured bacterium. RNAcentral describes it as "bacterial SSU rRNA". It matches the Rfam family "Bacterial small subunit ribosomal RNA", at positions 329 to 792 of the family's 1533-position model. The record is from RNAcentral.
GUCCAGACUCCUACGGGAGGCAGCAGUGGGGAAUAUUGCACAAUGGGGGAAACCCUGAUGCAGCGACGCCGCGUGAGCGAUGAAGUAUUUCGGUAUGUAAAGCCCUCUCAGCAGGAAAGAAAAUGACGGUACCUGACUAAGAAGCCCCGGCUAACUACGUGCCAGCAGCCGCGGUAAUACGUAGGGGGCAAGCGUUAUCCGGAUUUACUGGGUGUAAAGGGAGCGUAGACGGCAGUGCAAGUCCGGAGUGAAAGCCCGGGGCUCAACCCUGGGACUGCUCUGGAAACUGUAAAGCUGGAGUGCGGGAGGGGCAGGCGGAAUUCCUGGUGUAGCGGUGAAAUGCGUAGAUAUCAGGAGGAACACCGGCGGCGAAGGCGGCCUGCUGGACCGUAACUGACGUUGAGGCUCGAAAGCGUGGGGAGCAAACAGGAUUAGAUACCCCCGUA